This 5103-nucleotide long non-coding RNA is filed under the name Panax ginseng (ginseng). RNAcentral's name for it is "long non-coding RNA (PGIN_LNC004148)". Lineage: Eukaryota; Viridiplantae; Streptophyta; Magnoliopsida; Apiales; Araliaceae. The record is from RNAcentral.
AAAACUUUAGUUGGUAAACCAACUUUUGACUUUCCCACAUGUUCAAUAACUCCAGCACUCAGCCUCAUUCAGCAGAUGCAUGCAUUACAACACAAUAUAUAUAGAUUCAAGAGAGAGAAAUGUCAUCUUUUAAGCUAUUUGAUCACCACAUUCAUCCUCGAACUUCUCUCUCUAAAAACCCACGAAUUAUAUAUGUAUAUCAGUCCCAUAAUAAAGCCCCAUGAAUUCCAUAACAGAUCUAGAAGCCCAGAAUCAUGAAUCAAAGCAUGAAGGUAUAAACCCUAGAAUUUAAAAUUUUUAUGAUCUGCAUGUUUGAUGUUAGGAUUGAGUGUUAAAAUAUGUUGUUUAAGGUGUAUAAUGAUGAUCUGGGUUGCUAGAUGUUAGAUCCAUAACAUCUAGAGGCUCAGAUUUGAAGAUUUUAAGAAUCUAGAAAUUUUUGUUUUUGUAUCUGACAGUCAAAUGUCAGUCCUCAUAGAUCUUUGUAUGUUAUGUGUUUUUGUUGUUUAAAGGUUUAAUCUUGUCGUAUGCUAUGAGCUCUUUAAUCUAGAACUUGAUUCAGAGUUAGAUCUGCUGUAGAUUGUAAGUUAUUCAUGGUCAAAGGUCGUUGACCGACCAUGACUUUCUAAAAUCUGGGUAACCCAGAAAGUUUUUAGCAGCGUCUGACAACUUUUUCUAAUGCCUUGAUCUGUCAGAUUAUAUGUGUAUUGUUAAUGUUGUUGUGAUGAGAUUUUAGUGUGAUGUCUGGACUAUAGAUCCAUGAUUUAAUAUGUCUUAUAUCGUAAGCCAGAUUGAUGUAUUAGAAGGUCAAACUGGGCAAAACGAUCACGAGGACGGGUUUCUGGAAUUUCCAGAAACCGUAAUAGCAUUGUUUCUGACAAUGUUUGACUUACUUAUAUCUUGUGAUUUUGUUGUUAUUAGAAUGAUCUGAUGAUACGAAGUUGUUCCUUGACAUGUAUACUUCCAUUAUGAACCUUUAGAUCAUACAAACAAUCCUUAGAAUCAAUGUUACGGAGCCUCAAAAGUGGUAGCAUGAACUGUUCUUCAAUUCUAGAAAACCCAGAAAUUGAAGAACAGCGUCUGACAGUUUUUCCAGGGCUUGGAUCUUACUUAUGUUAUGAUGUUUGGCCAUGUUUGUUAUUGAAUAGUGUAGUCUUGUUCGUAUACUACAAGAUCUGACCAAGAUCAAGCCCAGAAACCUCUUAGAUUAAAAGUAAUUCAUGGACAAUGUAGGCACCUCUAUCACUGACCGUCAGUGUUCUUGAGCCUCAAGAACACCAACAGCGACAGAAAGCGUCGCUAAAAGCUACAGCGACGGUUUUAAAUUUUUUUUAUUUUUUGAAUUUCCGAAAAAUGAUUAAAAAUAGGAAAUAAAUUCUACAAUUUACAAAAAUGGUUUUAAAAAUUAUUUUAAAUUAUGAAAAAUAACUUUUUAUUAUUCGAGAUAUUUUUCAUUAAUAUUUAUAAUUAUUUGAAUAUUAAUGAUAUUUAAUUUAUUUAAUUAGUGUAUUAAAUAAAUUAGAGAAAAAUAAUUUUAAUGUUAUAAAAAUUAUUUUAAAUAAGAAUAAAGUGUUUUAAAAUAUUUUUAAGUUAUAAAUGUCACUUUUAAUAUUUUGUGAUAAAAUUUUAUUAAUAAAUUAAUAUUAAUGAUAAAUAAGUUAUUUAAUAAAUGUAUUAAAUACAUUAUGGAAAAUAGAAUUAAUAAUUUAAAAAUUAUAGAAAAAUGAUUUAAAGGUUAUAAAAAUAUUUUAAGUUAUAAAAUAUAACUUUUGAUAUUUUGUCAUGAAAAAUAUUAAUAUUUUAAUAUUAAUGAUGUUAGAUUUAUUUAAUAAUUAUAUUAAAUAAAUUAGUUUAAAAUUGAUGUUAAUAUUAGAAAAAUUAUUUUUGAUAAUAAAUUGUUUAAAGAUAUUUUAAGUUAUAAAAGAUAACUUUUAAUAUUUAAAGGAUAAUUUCAUUAAUAAUUUAAUAUUAAUGAUAUUAAUUUAAUAAUAAAUGAUAUUAAGUUUAUUUAAUAAUUAUAUUAAAUAAAUAGUUUUAAAAUGGUUUUAUUUAUUUAAAAAUCAUUUAAAAAGGAUAUAAAUGAAUUAAAAAUGUUUUAAGUUAUAAUUAAGGACUUUUAAUAUUUUGAUAAAUAAUACAUUAAUACUUUAAUAUUAAUGAUAAUUAUUUAAAAAUGAUUUUAAUUCUUUUAAAAAUCAUUUAAGUGUAAUAUUAAUACUUUAAAAGUAUUUUUAGUUAUUAUAAAUAACUUUAACCUUUUGGCAAUGGUUUCAUUAAUCGAUUAAUAUUAAUUAAAUAUUAAUGAUAAUAGAAUUAUUCAAUAUUUAAAUCAUUUAAUAAUGAUUCCGGUGUUUGUAAAUUCAUGAUAAAUUAUGAUAAAUAAUUAAAAAUUAUUAUAAGUCAUUUAAAAAUAAUAUGACUGAUAUUUAUAGAUAUUGAGUUACAGAAUAGAGUCUUCGACUCGAUAAUUACCCGAUAAAGCUGUCGAUACACCGACAUGUUUCAGAAAUUGAUCUGGACUUAGAUAUUUUGACUGUAUAUGUGUUUAUUUGUGAUUCAAUGGUUGUGGAAUAUAUGUGACAAUGUGAUUAGGUUAUGUGCUUACUGCAAUAAGCAAUGCUAUGUGUUAUAGUAUGUUGUUCUAAUCGAACGAAUGAUCUUAUUACUGAUAGGUGUUAUAUAAGGAUAGAACUAAGUACAAACUGUAAGCAGCGCAUCAGGCAAGUAUCUAACCUUUGCAUUUUCUUUAUGCAAUGGACAUGAGUAAGAAUGCUUCUAAACUAUAUUAUUACUGUACAGAUUAUUAACCUUAUAUUAUAUACACCCAUUGAUUAUCAACAUGUUAGUAUAUGGUAACUCAGAUAUAUAUAUUAUGUUCGUUAAUUUCUAGAAAUGGUUAAAUAAGUGUCCCAACUUGGAUAAUCAUUGUAUGUAAUCACAUGUUGAUAUACCUUUGUCAAUUACCCGUAUACAUAUAUGUUGAAUUAUAGAUUAUUGUUGAACAAGAUAAAACCUUUGAUUUGGAAACUAGACAAGUAUGAAUAUCCCUACACGGGAAAACUUUUAUGCGCCCAAGGUGGACAGAGUGAACGAUCCUAUCGUUCUUGUAAUGUAGUAUUGAUCAAUACAGGGCCCAUGGGAAGUACAACCUAACGCCCGUAAGUUAUGACGGUUUACAGAUGAAUUUCUGUUUAACCUUUUCAAAAAUGAAAACAAUGUUCAUAGCAUGUCACCAUAACCCUAGUUAUAGUCAAUAUGUAGUUUCAAAAAUUUGAAAGAGAGAGUGUUAUGUUAUUAUUAUCGGUUCAGAAUACUUCAUAACUAUUGACUUAUUGUAGAAGAAUAGUACAAAGAAAAUAUUUAAAUUCUUUCAGCUUAUAUAUAUAUAUAUAUAUAUAUAUAUAAUUACUAUUACAUGCUGGGCACUCAAAUGCUCAUCCUUGCUUAAUUUAAAUGUUGUCAGCUAGGCAUGAACAACUCGAAGGUUCAGGCAAGAACAAGUGAAAAGGAAAGCAAACAGAACAAGUUUAUUAAUGGUAUCUUUUGUAAUAGUUAGACAAUAUAUAGACAACGAUAUGUAUUAUAUAUCAUGUAAAGAAUUAUAGUAAAGGUUGCGUAAUUGGGAUUAGACUCUGAUAAAUGCAAGAUAAGUUUGAUAUUUAUAUUAUUAUUAGUAUUAUUCCGCUCAUAGAAAUGGUAUCGUGAAGAACCGAGUUCGAUUUUCAAGUACCCGAGUUUGGGGUCUUUACAAGUUGGUAUCAGAGCUUAGGGUUAAAAACCUUAGGUGGGUAAAACCUUAGGCUAUAACCUUGGAAAAGAGGGAAACGUUAAAAAUUUAAAUAACUCAUAUAGAGUUUAAAAAGGAGAUGAAUUGAAUAAGUUCAUCGUCAAAUCAAAUAAAAGAUAACUUGUAUAAAACUAUUAUUUGUUAGUUGAUAAUCAGGAUAACUUAAGUGUGUAUAUGUCAGAUAGAAAAGGAUUAAGAUACCCUCAAAUCAUAAAGAAGAAGUCAAUCUCCAUAACCGAGCCAAUAUCGAAGCCAAUAGCUGAAAUAGAGGCUCACAUUGAAAGCUACCUCAAAGAGGUGGUUAUUUUGAAAAGUAUAGUACCAGACCCUGAAACGAUAGUAUAGCAGAUAGGUAAGAUAUAGUUAAAGAAUAUGUGGUCAAUGUCGAGUUCUUAAACUCGUAUGUUUGUGGUGAGUUCUUAAACUCAUAAUAUAUGAUAAGUUGGACGAACUAGGUGUAGUUAGGUGUGAAUAGAUUAUUGAGGAUAAUGGGAAGAGACAGAUUACUAAGCAACUGAUCCUUAGUGGAGGCGUAAGAAAUAAGUAGUACUAAUAUUAAUAUGUAUGAUUCUAUGUUGUGUAUAUGAUAGGUAUGUCUGUAUAAGGUAAUAUUCUUAAUUUUAUAUAAGUUGUGGCAGCGAUUCCCGACUUUUGAGUCACAAAGGGAUAGCGAAUGUUUAAAGCAGUAUGUGCUUUGGUAUGUCAAGUGUUAUGAAUAUGAGUCUAUGAUGGAUUAAUGAAAUAAGUUGGUAUAAAGAUAGUAGUUAAUUAUAUGAGUACUGGAUAAUGCAGAAAAUAAAAUUUUCAAAAUAUCUAAUAUUUUGAGUACAUGAUUAAUGGAAUAGAAAGUUUUAUGUUAUAUGAUUAUACGUAUACAAUAAGGCUUAGAAUAAAGAAUAAAUUGUGAUAAUGUCGCCAAGACGAAAAUGAAGUACACGGACAGAAGAACCUGUCAACAAAGCUGGAAGACAACCAGACCCGAUACAGAAUUUUGCGAAUGUGGACGAUCAAGCUAUGCAGAACGGAAUACCAGUCGCGGGAAGAUCAGUCAGAUAAUCGAUAGACGAACGUCAAAGACUUCAAGGCCAUCGUACUUCCAAGAUUUAGAGGGCCAACUGACCCUAUAGCAACGUUUGUGAUAGCUAGGAUAACUAAGGGGCAAAAGAUAGCUUUGUCACACAUACGGUAAAAAAGGAAAGGAGAUAUAUAAAGGGAAAGUCUGUGUGUUUUAAGUGUGAAUCAAUGGAGUAUAAGAUAAAAGAUUGUUCAAGAAGGAGAAAGGAGGCAAGGAAUACGAAUACGGGAAAAGGCAGCAGGAC